GGAAUUAAUUCUUGUAUGCAGAUUUUCUGAUUUUUACUAUUCCACUGUCUGGGAAAUUCUGGGGAAAGCCUAAUCCUUUGGCAUCAGAAGAAGCCAAAAAAAAGAUGCAUUAGAAGAUUUUGGAAGAAAUCUUUGGAGGAAAUUCUUUACUAACAGGGUGGUGAGGAACUGGUACAGGCUGCCCAGAGAAGCUGUGGAUGCUCCAUCCCUGGAGGUGUUCAAGGCCAUUCUGAAUGGGGCUUUGGGCAGCCUGGGCUGGUGGGAGGUGUCCCUGCGAUGGCAGGGGGUAGGAAUUAAAUGAGCUUUAAGGUCCCUUCCAACCCAAACCACUCUACGAUUCU
This 341-nucleotide RNase P RNA is filed under the name Anser cygnoides (Swan goose). RNAcentral's name for it is "Nuclear RNase P (ENSACDG00005017047.1)". It matches the Rfam family "Nuclear RNase P". Rfam says of the family: Ribonuclease P (RNase P) is a ubiquitous endoribonuclease, found in archaea, bacteria and eukarya as well as chloroplasts and mitochondria. Its best characterised activity is the generation of mature 5'-ends of tRNAs by cleaving the 5'-leader elements of precursor-tRNAs. The record is from Rfam by way of RNAcentral. Lineage: Eukaryota; Metazoa; Chordata; Aves; Anseriformes; Anatidae.